Astyanax mexicanus (Mexican tetra) is the source of this 72-nucleotide microRNA precursor. It matches the Rfam family "mir-153 microRNA precursor family". The record is from Rfam. Lineage: Eukaryota; Metazoa; Chordata; Actinopteri; Characiformes; Acestrorhamphidae.
GUCUGUGUCAUUUUUGUGGUUUGCAGCUAGUAAUCUGACUCCAGUUGCAUAGUCACAAAAAUGAGCACGGAC